Molecule: small nucleolar RNA, 138 nt
Organism: Tachyglossus aculeatus (Australian echidna)
Lineage: Eukaryota; Metazoa; Chordata; Mammalia; Monotremata; Tachyglossidae
Source: RefSeq, a predicted model, not a curated record
CCCCUAUCAGGAUCACACCUGGAGAGUUUCCAGUACUCUACCAGUUUCGGCUACUGGAGGGAGAAUCAAGCAGAGGCAUACCCAUUCCAUUCCUAGUUUGAGCAGUGGCUAGUGAUUGGAAGGCAACCUGCUACAAGU